Lycium ferocissimum is the source of this 455-nucleotide long non-coding RNA. RefSeq lists it as uncharacterized. The record is from RefSeq and is a predicted model, not a curated record. The transcript is spliced from 2 exons. NCBI's taxonomy places the organism in Eukaryota, Viridiplantae, Streptophyta, Magnoliopsida, Solanales, Solanaceae.
ACUUUUUUAAAAGAAUCAUGGAAUCAAGGUAUAGAAUGUUAAAAUUUAGUUCUAACCUAAAAUUAUAGGAUUAGUUUUCCUAGGCUAAUUUGGACUAUUUAUUUAUGGUAUUGCAUAGAUUGAGGCUAUUGGAGUUUGUUUGAAGGAAAUUUGGCACUUUCGGAGAGGUUGCAUUCCGGUUAUAAGGCAAGUGUGGUUAACGGUGACCAGAUAGCCGAUACUUGAUUCAUUCUAGCUUCGUUCAGUCCAGUUCAGUCGAGGUGAGCCACCAUUAGAUCAUGGCGGCCUCUUCUUCUUUAGUUGACUUAGUAGUAUUCCGAGCUACGUCUCGUACUUUUAUAUUCAGACUAGUAGUUCCAUGACUUAGACAUUUUAUGGGGUUUAUGGGCAAGACUCAGUAUUUGUAUUUCGCUUCCGCACUUUUCUUUAUAUUAUGAGACUUUGCGUAUUAUUCA